RNAcentral lists this ribosomal RNA (1343 nucleotides) under uncultured bacterium. RNAcentral describes it as "16S ribosomal RNA". It matches the Rfam family "Bacterial small subunit ribosomal RNA", at positions 28 to 1378 of the family's 1533-position model. The record is from RNAcentral.
GACGAACGCUGGCGGCGUGCUUAACACAUGCAAGUCGAACGGAAAGGCCCUGCUUUUGUGGGGUGCUCGAGUGGCGAACGAGUGAGUAACACGUGAGUAACCUGCCCUUGACUUUGGGAUAACUUCAGGAAACUGGGGCUAAUACCGGAUAGGAGCUCCUGCUGCAUGGUGGGGGUUGGAAAGUUUCGGCGGUUGGGGAUGGACUCGCGGCUUAUCAGCUUGUUGGUGGGGUAGUGGCUUACCAAGGCUUUGACGGGUAGCCGGCCUGAGAGGGUGACCGGCCACAUUGGGACUGAGAUACGGCCCAGACUCCUACGGGAGGCAGCAGUGGGGAAUAUUGCACAAUGGGCGGAAGCCUGAUGCAGCAACGCCGCGUGCGGGAUGACGGCCUUCGGGUUGUAAACCGCUUUCGCCUGUGACGAAGCGUGAGUGACGGUAAUGGGUAAAGAAGCACCGGCUAACUACGUGCCAGCAGCCGCGGUGAUACGUAGGGUGCGAGCGUUGUCCGGAUUUAUUGGGCGUAAAGGGCUCGUAGGUGGUUGAUCGCGUCGGAAGUGUAAUCUUGGGGCUUAACCCUGAGCGUGCUUUCGAUACGGGUUGACUUGAGGAAGGUAGGGGAGAAUGGAAUUCCUGGUGGAGCGGUGGAAUGCGCAGAUAUCAGGAGGAACACCAGUGGCGAAGGCGGUUCUCUGGGCCUUUCCUGACGCUGAGGAGCGAAAGCGUGGGGAGCGAACAGGCUUAGAUACCCUGGUAGUCCACGCUGUAAACGGUGGGUACUAGGUGUGGGGUCCAUUCCACGGGUUCCGUGCCGUAGCUAACGCUUUAAGUACCCCGCCUGGGGAGUACGGCCGCAAGGCUAAAACUCAAAGGAAUUGACGGGGCCCCGCACAAGCGGCGGAGCAUGCGGAUUAAUUCGAUGCAACGCGUAGAACCUUACCUGGGUUUGACAUGGAUCGGGAGCGCUCAGAGAUGGGUGUGCCUCUUUUGGGGUCGGUUCACAGGUGGUGCAUGGCUGUCGUCAGCUCGUGUCGUGAGAUGUUGGGUUAAGUCCCGCAACGAGCGCAACCCUUGUUCACUGUUGCCAGCACGUUAUGGUGGGGACUCAGUGGAGACCGCCGGGGUCAACUCGGAGGAAGGUGGGGAUGACGUCAAGUCAUCAUGCCCCUUAUGUCCAGGGCUUCACGCAUGCUACAAUGGCUGGUACAGAGAGUGGCGAGCCUGUGAGGGUGAGCGAAUCUCGGAAAGCCGGUCUCAGUUCGGAUUGGGGUCUGCAACUCGACCUCAUGAAGUCGGAGUCGCUAGUAAUCGCAGAUCAGCAACGCUACGGUGAAUACGUUCCCGGG